RNAcentral lists this ribosomal RNA (1384 nucleotides) under metagenome. RNAcentral's name for it is "bacterial SSU rRNA". It matches the Rfam family "Eukaryotic small subunit ribosomal RNA", at positions 1 to 1420 of the family's 1831-position model. The record is from RNAcentral.
UCUGGUUGAUCCUGCCAGUAAUAUAUGCUUGGAUGAAGGAUUAAGCCAUGCAAAUGUAAGAAUAAGUCGGUUACGACAAAUCUGUGGAAGGCUAAGUAAAAAAGGGAGAAAGAAAGAGGGGGAGAAAAUUGUGGAUAAUGAGAGGAAAUCUCUCAAUAAUACAAAAAUUGUAGCAAUGUAUAAAUGAAUAGACUUGCUACUGAUAAGCUGGGUAACCAGCGACCCCUCAUCUGACUCUUAUGUAUCAAUUAGACUUUAGGGUAAUGGCCUAAAGUGAUGAUAACGCAUACAGAGAAUUAGGGUUCGAUUCUGGAGAGGGAGCAUGAGAGAUGGCUACCACUUCUAAGGAAGGCAGCAGGCGCGCAAAUUGCCCAAUGUGGAAAUCACGAGGCAGCGAACAUCAAUAACAAUGAGAGACUGAAUAACAGUUUUUCAAUUGGAAUGAGAUAUGAGAAGAGAAAAAAGCGAGAAACAAGUGGAGGGCAAGUCUGGUGCCAGCAGCCGCGGUAAUACCAGCUCCACAAGCGUAUAUUAAAGCUGCUGCAGUUAAAACGCUCGUAGUUGUGGUUUCGUUAGUGGAGCGGUCUGUGUCUCAAAAAGACGCGGGCAGCUCUGCUAGUUACAAUCUAGUGUGUGUGUUAACUCAUUCAUACUAAGUAAACCUUGAAGAAAUAUUGACGCUUAAAAUUUGACUUAAGUCAAAGUUCUUUUUGCAUGGGAUUUUGGAAUAUGAGUGGUGGAGUAAAAUCCGCUGCUAAUGACAUUCGAGGAUGAAAGAGGAAGUUAAUAUUUGUGAGUCAGAGGUGAAAUUCUUGGAUUUCACAAAGAUUAACUAAUGCGAAGGCAUUCUUCAAUUGCUUUCCUGUCAACCAAGAACGAAAGUAAGGGGAUCGAAGACGAUCAGAUACCGUCGUAGUCAUUACAGUAAAUUUUGCCGACAAAGGAAACGGGAAAGACCUAGAAUGCGCCGGGCAACUGGUACAUUUAAUAUCCUCCUGUUUUCUCCCACGAAAGUUUAAGUCUUUGGGUUCUGGGGGGAGUAUGUUCGCAAGGCCGAAACUUAAAGGAAUUGACGGAAAGGCACCACCAGGCGUGGAGCCUGCGGCUUAAUUUGACCCAACACGGGAAAACUUACCAGGUCCAAACAGCGUGAGGAUUGACAGAUUGAGAGCUCUUUCAUGAUUCGUUGGGUGGUGGUGCAUGGCCGUUCUUAGUUGGUGGUGCGAGCUGUCUGGUUGAUUCCGUUAACGAACGAGACCUUUGUGAGAUAAUAGUUGAAUCAAGAUGUUGCGUCAAGGCUGGAGCUCACGUAUUGGGGAAGGAUCCGUUCCUCCCUUUACUCUGGGUUUCAGUUGCAAUCUAGAUUACAACUUCUUUCUCAGAC